This 252-nucleotide ribosomal RNA is filed under the name uncultured bacterium. Its description in RNAcentral is "partial 16S ribosomal RNA". It matches the Rfam family "Bacterial small subunit ribosomal RNA", at positions 524 to 775 of the family's 1533-position model. The record is from RNAcentral.
UACGUAGGGGGCUAGCGUUGUCCGGAAUUAUUGGGCGUAAAGAGCUCGUAGGCGGCCAGUUGCGUCUGCUGUGAAAUCCCGGGGCUCAACCCCGGGCGUGCAGUGGAUACGGGCUGGCUAGAGGCAGGCAGGGGAGAACGGAAUUCCCGGUGUAGCGGUGAAAUUCGUAGAUAUCGGGAGGAACACCAGUGGCGAAGGCGGCGAUCUGGGAAGAUACUGACGCUGAGGUGCGAAAGCGUGGGGAGCAACAGA